UUUGGGUUUUAAAUUGCAUCUAUGUUGUGGCACUAUUGUAACCUAGAAUCUGCUGUUCCUGUAGCAUGGCCAUGCGUUUAGAAGAUGAAGAGGGGACAAAAAUGGCUAUGGCAAUUGGAGGGAGGGAGAUUCGACCCUGUGACGCCUGUGGAACAAAGAGAGCUCGUUGGUUCUGUGGAGCAGAUGGAGCUUAUCUCUGCCAUGCCUGUGACACCUCUGUUCACUCAGCUAAUUCUGUUGCCUGCCGCCAUGAAAGAGUUCGAUUGACCCAUAAUGGAAUUCUGUCCUCUGGUCUCAUGGCCGAUGGGCAGAGCUCAUGGCCUCGAAAGAGGAUUCGUUCCAAGCGCCGCCAGAAGAUUGGGACAGGACUUCUCUGCUUGAAUGCCAAACAGGGAUUGAAGAAGUCCACUAGCCAAAAUCAUGGUGAAUUCGGCCCUGAUACUGAUCUCAAUGUCGAGCUGUUCUUAGACACUGAGUCGGAGAUCUUUUCAUUCCAUGUCGAUGAAUUAGCUGCCCCAGAGUCCCAUGGCGAGGAAAAUUGUUUGGACUCCCUAUACAAGAAUGAUGGCAUUGGGUUCAAGGAUUGUCAAGAUUCGAGCCCUGUUGAUAGCGAGGAGCAGACCUUCAGUUGGGCAGUUUUCGACCGGGUGAAGGUCGAGGAGAGCGAUUAUGAAGAUAACAAAGUCGAAGUGUCAGAGGAGCUCUUUGAUUUGAAUAUAGAUCUUUCUGACUUUGCAGUCAAUACGGAGGAUGAUGUUGUGAAGGUGAAUGACUGCAAUUUCAAUGGCGAGGAGAAGAGACUGUGUUUGAUGCUGAAUUACGAAGAUGUUUUGAGCGCCUGGUCUGACAGGGGGUCGCCUUGGGCCUACCACAACACUCUGCAAGAGGAAACGGCCUCUGAAGGAACGACAGGGACAAUCUAUGUAGUUGUUCCAGAUUUGAACAUAGGGAAUGAAGGGCAGGUAGAUCAUGCUGAAGGUGUGCCGGUAAUCAACUGCUACUACAACGAAGAAAAGAAGUACGGAUGUCGUGAAGGGAGAGAAGCCCGUGUAAUCAGAUAUCGUGAAAAGCGUCGGAAUAGACUGUUUUCCAAACGAAUAAGAUAUCAAGUCCGGAAACUCAAUGCAGAGAAACGACCGCGGAUGAAGGGUCGAUUUGUAAAGAGUACGAGUGAUGUUUUGUUGGAUUGAACGGCCCACCAAAACAGAAGUAAAAUUCAAACAGCUGGACAGCAGACCACACAAAAGCCAAACUUCUGCAUCUUCAUGGAAGUUCUGUUUUUUCAUCAUUUUUCCCUGAAUUCUGUACAUGGAAUUCAAAAAACCGGAUUUUGGAGGCGAAAUUCGCUGUUAUGUUACAUCUUAUCCUCUACUUUAUAAGGCUAGUUAUUAUUCACAAGGAGGUAGUUGUGAUUUUUUUUUUUAAAACCACACUAUCCUGAACAUUGAGUGGACGUAAAUGACAAAGAUGUUUAAGUCAAUUUUUGUACUCAUCAAAAAUGCUGAUUCGACAACCAGAAGAGUCAUCAUCAAUUGAGCUUGUGCUGUGACAUAAAGCUCCUUUUGAAAGGGAUGUCACGUGCAACGUUGAAAUUCUAUGCACGACUCCCUGGUUGGGCUCAUUAUCCUUUGGUAUGUUGAGUUUAAGUGUAGUCAUGCCACCCAACCAAAAUUACAGGAUUAAUAGCAUGUAUUGAACUUAUAAUUUUUA
This is an RNA transcript of Cryptomeria japonica (Japanese cedar), 1710 nucleotides long. It is a transcript of the gene named zinc finger protein CONSTANS-LIKE 6, with no coding region annotated. The record is from RefSeq and is a predicted model, not a curated record. NCBI's taxonomy places the organism in Eukaryota, Viridiplantae, Streptophyta, Pinopsida, Cupressales, Cupressaceae. The transcript is spliced from 5 exons.